Astyanax mexicanus (Mexican tetra) is the source of this 106-nucleotide small nuclear RNA. The record is from Ensembl. Lineage: Eukaryota; Metazoa; Chordata; Actinopteri; Characiformes; Acestrorhamphidae.
GUGCUUGCUACGGCAGCACAUAUACUAAAAUUGGAACGAUACAGAGAAGAUUAGCAUGGCCCCUGCGAGGAUGACAACGCAAAAUCGUGAAUGCGGCCAAUUCCUU